Thrips palmi is the source of this 362-nucleotide long non-coding RNA. RefSeq lists it as uncharacterized. The transcript is spliced from 3 exons. The record is from RefSeq and is a predicted model, not a curated record. Lineage: Eukaryota; Metazoa; Arthropoda; Insecta; Thysanoptera; Thripidae.
UAUCGCUGGAGGUUUUGAGGACCAUCGAUGGGCAGCUUCUAAAGGAACUGAUACCUUCCAUUGGCCUACGGUCUACUUUCAUCUCGAAGAGAGAACAGUUCUUGAAAAGCAGGGAACGGAGUCAUUUGAUGGAACCAGAAUCUACACCUGGCGGGUCAGUUGAGGUUCUAGCGAUACAUCACAUUUCAUCAAACACUACUGUAGUCGGACCAAGUUCACCGCUUAUUCCAACGCCAACUCCUUCCACUUCAGUUCCAACAUGCUCUUCAGUUUCAACGCGCUUUUCAGUUCCAACGCGCUCUUCAGUUCCAACUUCCAGUUCAGUUCCAACUUCCAGUUCAGUUGCAACCAGCCCAGUGGCA